CCAAUAGCGUAUAUUAAAGUUGUUGCAGUUAAAAAGCUCGUAGUUGAAUUUCGGGAUCAAUUUGUUGGUCGUGCCUCGGUACGUACUGGCAUUAUUGGUUUCUACCUUCUGAAGAACCUUGAUGUCAUUAAUUUGGUGUCUUGGGGAAUCAGGACUGUUACUUUGAAAAAAUUAGAGUGUUUAAAGCAGGCAUACGCUUGAAUACAUUAGCAUGGAAUAAUGAAAUAGGACGUUUGAUUCUAUUUUGUUGGUUUCUAGGAUCGACGUAAUGAUUAAUAGGG
RNAcentral lists this ribosomal RNA (281 nucleotides) under uncultured Glomus. RNAcentral's name for it is "partial 18S small subunit ribosomal RNA". It matches the Rfam family "Eukaryotic small subunit ribosomal RNA", at positions 591 to 877 of the family's 1831-position model. Lineage: Eukaryota; Fungi; Glomeromycota; Glomeromycetes; Glomerales; Glomeraceae. The record is from RNAcentral.